Vespula vulgaris is the source of this 665-nucleotide long non-coding RNA. RefSeq lists it as uncharacterized. The transcript is spliced from 3 exons. The record is from RefSeq and is a predicted model, not a curated record. NCBI's taxonomy places the organism in Eukaryota, Metazoa, Arthropoda, Insecta, Hymenoptera, Vespidae.
CGAUUAGCGCGUUUCUCGCGAGAUACUGUCGAGGCAAGGAGCUUUUGGAACGCACCACGACCUCCUCCGCUAUAAAUAAAACGUGUCGGCGGCCACAACGAGAAUUCUGCCAGCAGCAGCUUCGUAUUCGUAAGAUUGUACCGCUCGCCACACCUCGAAAGAUUACCGGUUUUGGAUCUCUCUCACUAUAACCAGAUUUAAGAAAGAUCGAAGAAAAACAUUAUGUAUAGCGUGCGUGAGAGCGCAUUAAUUGAAGGAUGGCUGACGCACAUCUGCGUUCUACCUCGUGCGUGAUACAAAGUAAGCGCCAAAAGAAUAUCGAAGACACGGAACGGAACGAAACGAAACGAAAAGGAGAAGGAAGGACGGAAGGAAGGAACGAAGGAAGGAAGGAAGGAAGGAAGGAAGGAAGGAAGGAAGAAAGAAAGGAAGGAAGGAAGACGACUGUGAACGACGCAAGUCGACUCGACUCGACGUUCGCAGCUGCAGGUACCGAAAAGCCAGUGCAACGGUUUCAAUUGUCUGCAACAUGGCUGCCGCUGCUCGACUAGGUCUCAUAGUCGUUAUCCUUGAAAGACCCGUGUGCUGCACCUCUUUCGUUUUGUUUUAACGCACGAAGCACACAACGGAGGAGUGCGCACGCGCGUGCAUGCCAGAGAGUUAGA